This 4432-nucleotide long non-coding RNA is filed under the name Solanum tuberosum (potato). Its description in RNAcentral is "long non-coding RNA (STUB_LNC010993)". The record is from RNAcentral. Lineage: Eukaryota; Viridiplantae; Streptophyta; Magnoliopsida; Solanales; Solanaceae.
UAUUCGCAACUGCCCAUUGCUCACACCACUACUAGAAUUUGACAAGGGGAAAUACUGGCCAAAUAUUGCUCAUAUUCCCAUCAUACAGGUCGAUUGGAAAUACAUGUGAUGAUUAAAACAAAUGGUGCUCCCACUGAUGUAAGUUAUUCUUUUCCCUCAGAAACUUGUUAUUUUUGUUUUCUUCACUUUUCUUUUUUGCUAAUUUUUUUCCUUUUCUUUUUUUAUAUCCUGUUGAGCAGUGUGGAAUGUCUUUUGCUCAAUCCACACCGAAAAUUGCUCAUACUUCCACCAUAAAUGUUGAUUUGGAGAACCUGUAAUGAUUAUCACGAGUGGUGCUCCGAUAGAUAGAUGUAAGUUAUUCUAUUUCCUUAGUAGCUUUCCAUUUUUGGUUAAAUUCUUUUUCUUUGUUACAUCUUUUUUGACCAGUGUGUAGCAUCUAUUGCUUCCGUGAAGUCGAGGAAAUAGCUAUAGAUCAGGAUAAACUCUUUUAUAUUUGCAUUGAGACAUUGUAAAAGAAAAUCAUAUAUCAUAUCAUAUUAUAAGUGGGAAGCCUCUAUGUCAAAAGUUGAAUUACAAAAUGUCCUUGUAAUAUCAUAAUAUUUAUGGACAAAAAUGUAAAUAUAUAUUAAAUAUAAAUAAAAACUAUUGUAUUCUAUUAAACACUAUUAUUACAUAUUUAUGAACAAAAAUAUAAAUACACAUUAAUUAUAAUAAAUAUCAUAAAAUAUUUAUAAUAAUAAUAUUAUAUUCUAAAAAUGGAGAACUCACAAUCUUUGGCAUGAAUUAAUAUAGAUACAAUGAAUAUUUGUACAAUUGGAUGAUAUCCUAUUAAAUGACAAAAGAAAAUCAAAAGUUUAGGAACAAUUAAAAUGACCCUUAAGUGUACCUCAAUUACUCCUACCGUGCAAAGGUAUAAAAAUUUUCAGAUGAAUUAUAUUCAAAAAAUUAUAUUAAAUGCUAAGUAAUUGCUUCAAUAAAUACUUACUAUGAAAACUUGCAAUCGUUGAACUUUUGAUUUUCUUCUAUUAUAAUUAGCACAAACUAAUGAUGAAUAAUAUACUUGGUAAAUUAGUUAAAUUUAUCUUAUAUAAAUGGACAUUUAGCAUAUGCAUAAACUUUCACUAUUGGAUAUAUAUAUAUAAUUCUAUACUUAUUAAGCUCCCAAGUUAAAAGUUGAAUUACAAAAAUACCCUUCAACUAAAAAAAGAGAUUUUUUAAUAAAUGGUUGUAAUAUAAUUCUAUACUUAUUACGCUUUAAUUGUUUUAUAUAAUAAAAUAAUAAAUGGAAAAUGAAAAAAACCAAAGAGACGAUGAUCAGAUAAUAAUUUUUGAUACUUUAAAACUUUUGGUUUUUUUAUGUUAGAGAAAAGAACCCUUUCCUUUCUUCAUUUACAUUUUUAAAAAAAAUAGACCAAUAACUCUCUAAAUUAUCUAAUCUUUCCUCUUCCCCAAUUUAUUACUCAAUUAAAUCUUAAGUUAUAUAUAUUGAAUGAAAGAUGAAAGAACUUCCUGAAUAUACCGUUUCAUAUUCCUUUUUUGUGCACUUAUAUAAUUUAUAUAAAUGCAUAUUAUCAUAUAAGAUAAUAGGGUUGCUUCACUUCAGUUGCAACAUAAUAUUAUGAUAUAUUCUUUUGCCUCAUUUUCUUUUCAUUGCUUUAAUUUAUUUUUUUCUGUUUCAUGUCUGAUGUAGUGUAUUUCUUUGCUUAUAACAGGUCAUUUAGGUGAAUACUUUUUCUUCCAUAUUAUUCUUAUUUGUAAAAUAUAAGGUAUGUGCGUUUAUAUUCUCAUUCAUUCCUAUUUUUUUAAUAAUGUAGAUGCAUUCUUGGUGAAUUAUUUUGUUUUACUGUUUAUGGGGUUUCAUAAUUGGAGUGGUAGUUCCUUCAAAGAAAUAUUAGUAAAAGACAUUCCAAAAUAUCGUGAAAAAGACAUAUUUAGAGUUGAUUUAUAUUGUAAGCACAUUUGAAUGUUGCAUAUGAUUGUUGUAGUCCUCCUUUCUCAUUUUUUUAUUUCCAUUUCACUCUUAAAAAGAUAACAAUGAUUUUUUUUCCUAAUGUAAUCACUAUUCCUUUGCCUUCUUUUAAAAGUGAUAGUCAAUUCAUGAUUUUAUAAAAAUAACUACAAAUAGUUAAUUUACUUUGUAGUUUUAGUGAUAAUGUUUGGUUAUUUUUUAGAGUGUGCAAUUUAUUUUUACCAUUAUAAAUAAAUUACAUACGCUUUAAAUUUAUUGUAAUACAAUGUAAAUUACCUUGGUUAUUAUUAAUUAUUUUUAUUUUCCAUCUUCCUAUGUAUUAAUUUUUCUCAUAAUCUAUUUAUCUUCCUUUGCCUCAAAACAUUGUUAUCAUAUAUAUAUGUUAUUAUUUUGUUUCUUUUGUUUACUACUCUUCACCAUGCUACUAUAUCUUAUGUGUCAAUUUAGUUAUCAAAUUUUUUUUCCAGGUAAAAUAUUAAUGACCCAUGAAAUUUAUUCUUGAAAAGCUCGGUGUUUUCUUGAUCUAUUUCCAAAGUUAUUAUAUAGAUCUUAAGAGUAUUGAAUACUUAUCUGUUAGAUUGAAGCAAAUUACUCUGAAUUUUAUUACAUCUACAUCUUUAUCUAUUAAACUUAAAUUUGACCUUUCUAUAGCAAUCAGUUGAUUAGUGCUUUGUUAAUAGUAACUCUCUGAUGGGAUGUAAUUUAAGCAUUUUCCCUUGAUUUUGUGGCAGAGCAACACUAUUAUAUUAUAUAUAGAUAUAGCACAUUUGCAUCAUAAGAGCACCUAGACUAUUCUACAAAAUGAACUUGUAAUUUUCUAAAAGUGGGAACAAUCUAAGUCAAAAGUUGAAUUACGAAGAUACUUUUUGACUAUUAAUUUAUUUUCUUAAGAUCAUUUAAAAAAAAUAUUUUUCCAUUUAAAAUCAACUUCAUAACUACACCUCUUCAUUUUCCUAACUUAUCAUCUUAUGAUCAUAAAUAAACAAUAAAUAAUAAAUAAUAAGAAUAAAAAUAAAAAUUUAUUAAAAGUAGAAAACUCAAAAAUUUAAAGUUGGAUUACCAUUUUACUCUUAUACUAAAUAAAAAAGUUAUAAAAUAUUUUAAUAAUUAAAUAUUAAAUAAUAAUCAUAAAUUAAUUUGUCAUUUUUCCUUCACAUAAAAAAGGGAAAUAAAACUUUUAUUAAAUUAGUAAAUAUAGUAAGUAUAUAUAUAAGUACGACCACAAUAUUUUAAAAACUGAAUUAUCAAAAUGUCCAUAAAAUGUUGAAUGACAUCAAUAUCCUUCAAUCAAAUAUUAUUCCUAUAAUAAUAUUGUACAUGGAUUUAAAUAUAUACUUAGUUCAAUGCAUUAGGCUAUUGAAUAUAUAUACACGAAAAAACCCAUUAAUGUUUUGUCAUUUAUUUAACUCUUAUUUAUGUUUUUUUCUUUCUUGAAGGUAAGUCUAUCUUCUAAUAAAUAAAAAUAAAUAAUAAUAUAGCAAAUGAAUGACCUAGAUAAAUUAAAGACAUAGAGUUAUGUGUAUUCAAUUUCUGUAAAUGCUUUAUCUUCCGAUUCUUAAUGCGAAAAGUAAAAUAUCUCUUUGUAGUAAUAAACAUAUGGAGAAUUGAAAAAGUUGCUUGGUAUAUUCAAUGCGGAGUAAUUCAUUUGAUCAAUUCAAUACAAUAUAUUCAUUUACUAAAAUGUUAUAUAUUGUGUAUAUAUAGUGAAAAAUCACAAGACAAUUAUUUCAAUUCAUCAAAUUAUUAGAUUAUCAAUCCUACUUUGUGUAGCGACAUUUUUUCAUAUUCAUUUUGUGUUUGUGUCUCUCUUUUCUACUUCUGCUUAUGUACUCUAUUUUUUCUAUUCAUAUUAUAAGUUAUUGUCUUUAAUUUGACUUAUUCAUAUAUGUUUUCUGAUUAGUUGAAAGUUCAUUUUACUUGGGUAUGCAAACAUUUGUAUCAUAGUUAUUUCACCUCUUGCAACAUAGAAAUUUAUCAUAGAAAUAUCAAAUCAGAUAAGAUUACUUUUUUUUUAAGUAUCUCCUUGGAGUAUCAUGAAACUAUAUGUUCUUGUUUAUGUAAUUUUGGUUAGGAAUCAAUUUACAUAAUUUAACUUAUAUUUUUUUUGUUUAAUUUACAUAAGAUAGAACUAAUAAUUUUGAAUUAGGCAAGGGGUACACGACCUAUAACAAUUAUGAUUUAUAUACAUCGAUUAGAUAUUUGAGCAAUUAUUAUUUUUAUCACUAAUAAUAACUAUUUUUUUUGUAGGUGUACACCAAAAAAUUGACAAUGAUCCACUAGCUAUCAUAAGAAAUGUAUGUGUUGAUCGAAUUUAUAUGCACUUUUUACAAAACACAAAUCACAUUCGAUAACAAUUUCUUGACCUGUAUGUGAUUGUAAUAAGGUGGAGGCUACAAUUUCUAGAAAGAAGGCAAAAAUUUUAGAACAUGAAAUAUUUUGAACCAAUAAGAGAUACUUAAAUUA